This 516-nucleotide ribosomal RNA is filed under the name uncultured Glomus. RNAcentral's name for it is "SSU rRNA". It matches the Rfam family "Eukaryotic small subunit ribosomal RNA", at positions 569 to 1089 of the family's 1831-position model. Lineage: Eukaryota; Fungi; Glomeromycota; Glomeromycetes; Glomerales; Glomeraceae. The record is from RNAcentral.
AGCAGCCGCGGUAAUUCCAGCUCCAAUAGCGUAUAUUAAAGUUGUUGCAGUUAAAAAGCUCGUAGUUGAAUUUCGGGAUCAAUACGUCGGUCGUGCUUCGGUACGUACUGGCGUAAUUGAUUUCUCCCUUCUGACGAACCAUGAUGUCAUUAACUUGGUGUCAUGGGAAAUCAGGACUGUUACUUUGAAAAAUUAGAGUGUUUAAAGCAGGCUCACGCUUGAAUACAUUAGCAUGGAAUAAUGAAAUAGGACGUUCGAUCCUAUUUUGUUGGUUUCUAGGAUUGACGUAAUGAUUAAUAGGGAUAGUUGGGGGCAUUAGUAUUCAAUUGUCAGAGGUGAAAUUCUUGGAUUUAUUGAAGACUAACUACUGCGAAAGCAUUUGCCAAGGAUGUUUUCAUUAAUCAAGAACGAAAGUUAGGGGAUCGAAGACGAUCAGAUACCGUCGUAGUCUUAACCAUAAGCUAUGCCGACUAGGGAUCGGAUGAUGUUAAUUUUUAAUGACUCAUUCGGCGUCCG